AUGCUCACUUCAGCAGCACACGUACUGAAAUUAGAACAAGACAGAGAAAAUUAGCACGGUCCCUGCACAAGCAUUGUGUGCAAAUUCAUGAAGCAUUCCAUAUUUUC
This is a small nuclear RNA of Cebus imitator (Panamanian white-faced capuchin), 107 nucleotides long. Lineage: Eukaryota; Metazoa; Chordata; Mammalia; Primates; Cebidae. The record is from RefSeq and is a predicted model, not a curated record.